GAUGAAGAACGUAGCGAAAUGCGAUACUUGGUGUGAAUUGCAGAAUCCCGUGAACCAUCGAGUCUUUGAACGCAAGUUGCGCCCGAAGCCACUAGGCCGAGGGCACGCCUGCCUGGGCGUCACACGCCGUUGCCCCCCCAUCUACUCCUUCGGGAUUGCGGGGGGGCGGAUGAUGGCCUCCCGUGCGCCUAGCCGCGCGGUUGGCAUAAAUACCAAGUCCUCGGCGACGCACGCCACGACAAUCGGUGGUUGCGAAACCUCGGUUGCCCGUCGUGUGCGUUCGUCGCGCAUCGAGGGCUCGAAAAAAUGCUCGGCUCCGGCUGGGCUUUCAACGCGACCCCAGGUCAGGCGGGGUUACCCGCAGAAUUUAAGCAUAUCAAUAAGCGGAGGA
This 391-nucleotide unclassified non-coding RNA is filed under the name soil metagenome. RNAcentral describes it as "partial contains 5.8S ribosomal RNA, internal transcribed spacer 2, and large subunit ribosomal RNA". The stretch from base 1 to 122 matches the Rfam family "5.8S ribosomal RNA", at positions 35 to 154 of the family's 154-position model. The record is from RNAcentral.